RNAcentral lists this non-coding RNA (23 nucleotides) under Cricetulus griseus (Chinese hamster). Lineage: Eukaryota; Metazoa; Chordata; Mammalia; Rodentia; Cricetidae. The record is from RNAcentral.
GUAAGAAACUGGGAGAUUAUGCC